UGCGCCCUAAUCUGUCACAUUCAUGUUUGCAAGAAGAUUGAACAUUCUCCAUACUUGCAAGCCACGGGGUUCUGCGACGGAAGCCACCGUGUGCUUGCUCACAGGCCACCGCAGGCUACCGCGGGCCACCGCGCGUCGCCGUCAAAGGCCUUUUAUUUCACCAUUUCUAAGCCUUUGGGUCACCGUUCGCCGGUCACGGCUUCCACGCUACUAGGCCUUUGUUUUAACUAAGGUGCUCCUAUACAGUCUAGUUACAUAUCACUUGCUGAAUCUACUAUAAACGUUGAUAUUGGUCUCUCGGUCAAACUAUAAGGUGAAAAUCAUGGAUGAGAAAUUUAUAUUCUCCACGUGGCCUAAAUUGUUCAUAGCACAAAAAAUAUAUACCUUUUUUAAAUAUUUAGUUUUAUGUUAUUUGGAAUUUAUUAUGUGAAUUGGUUUUGUUGUGCUACCCAGUGAAAUAUUGUGUUACAAUCAGGUGAUGUUAGGAAUCUUUCUUACCUCAAUAAUCUAUCAUUAGGAAAAUGUCGUUAUUGCUUGAAUUUCAUUAUGUGUUGUUCAAUAAAGUCAAAUGGAAAUUCAAUGUUUUCCAAAUGUUUCCUUCUGUGUUGACUUUUCACUGUUGUAUCUUUGAUUGUGUUACAUUAACAGCUAAAUAUGCUUUGUUUUUUAACAUGCAACCUCUUCUAGAAAGCAUCAAGGAAAGCAACUAUUGAAUUAUUUGAGUGAGAAUAUUGUUUCUAACUCCAUAUCUGCCAAAUCCUCCAUGACUGUGUCUGAAAGAAUAUAGUUUCAGGCCCCCACGCUCUUCUCAAAACCGUGUCUGAACCAAUUCUGGGAAGGUUUUGAAGAUAGUCACAGCACUUGAAGAUCUCAUGGUUGAAAUUCCCAUGUUAACAUUUAUUGUGUUGUUGAUGAUACCAUGCUAAACUCAUUCACUAUCAAGGUACAUUUCUAAUUAGAAUGUAUAAAUUAGUGCCUAAUUAUCUUUUUUUAUUUCUUGGAGUGUAUAAAUGUGUUAAGGACAUAAAGCAACGGUUAUGACAUGUAUAAUGGUAAGAGCAAAUAAUAGUAUAUAUAUAAAACGUUGUUGUUCUUUCAGUGGCAGCUGGAUCAAAAGGUUGGUAA
Molecule: long non-coding RNA, 1125 nt
Organism: Vigna unguiculata (cowpea)
Lineage: Eukaryota; Viridiplantae; Streptophyta; Magnoliopsida; Fabales; Fabaceae
Source: RefSeq, a predicted model, not a curated record